AACGAACGCUGGCGGCAGGCCUAACACAUGCAAGUCGAGCGCGCCGUUCGGGGAGCGGCAGGCGGGUGAGUAUCGCGCGGGAACGCACCCUUAUCUGCGGGGUAUCACCGGGAGACUGUAAUUAUAACCGAAUGUGCUCUCUGGGGGAAAGAUUUAUCGGAUAAGGAUCGGCCCGCGUUGGAUUAGCUAGUUGGUGGGGUAAAGGCCUACCAAGGCGACGAUCCAUAGCUGGUCUGAGAGGAUGAUCAGCCACACUGGGACUGAGACACGGCCCAGACUCCUACGGGAGGCAGCAGUGGGGAAUAUUGGACAAUGGGCGCAAGCCUGAUCCAGCCAUGCCGCGUGAGUGAUGAAGGCCUUAGGGUUGUAAAGCUCUUUCACCGGAGAAGAUAAUGACGGUAUCCGGAGAAGAAGCCCCGGCUAACUUCGUG
RNAcentral lists this ribosomal RNA (431 nucleotides) under uncultured bacterium. Its description in RNAcentral is "partial 16S ribosomal RNA". It matches the Rfam family "Bacterial small subunit ribosomal RNA", at positions 29 to 507 of the family's 1533-position model. The record is from RNAcentral.